UUACCAUGCCUAACUUGUGACAAUGUGUC
This 29-nucleotide non-coding RNA is filed under the name Rattus norvegicus (Norway rat). Lineage: Eukaryota; Metazoa; Chordata; Mammalia; Rodentia; Muridae. The record is from RNAcentral.